AGUCUGCAACUCGACUCCGUGAAGCUGGAUUCGCUAGUAAUCGCGCAUCAGCCAUGGCGCGGUGAAUACGUUCCCGGGCCUUGUACACACCGCCCGUCAAGCCAUGGGAGCCGGGGGUACCUGAAGUCCGUAACCGCGAGGAUCGGCCUAGGGUAAAACUGGUGACUGGGGCUAAGUCGUAACAAGGUAUC
Molecule: ribosomal RNA, 191 nt
Filed under: uncultured bacterium
Lineage: Bacteria
Description: partial 16S ribosomal RNA
Rfam family: Bacterial small subunit ribosomal RNA
Source: RNAcentral